GGGCUUCUGAGUUUUAAUCUUCCUUUUUUUAGCCUAUGAAUUAAAUAAUUAAAUUACAUGAAGCUUAUAAAACAGUGAAGAGAAUAGCUUCUAGGGUAGGUAAUACAAACUUGAGGUCAGCAACUUAGUGGCACUGUGACACUGGCAAAUUAUUUAAAUUCAAUAACUAUGUUUCCUUCUCUUCUUUAAAUUUAGGAUAAAAAUAAUAUCUACCUGAUAGGAUUUUUUGGAAAAUUUCCAAAAGUGAAAAGACAUCUAAGUGGCAGAGCUCAGUGUCUGACAAGGAUUUUAAGCCUUGCUACUAAUUUGUAAAUUCCCACAUCAAAGCAGAACGGAGUUGAAUCACCUUGGCUGUAGCCUGCCUACUCCCAUGAAGCAAAGGACCGGGAGUGCCAGACACCUGUUCUGCAUCUUGCCUUUGCUACCCCCCAGCUCCAUGACCUUGGCCAAGAUAUCAACCUUAUGAUCCUCCAUUUCCUAAUUUAUAAGAUGGUGAUGAGGUUGAGGAGGAGGCUGAUAACUACCUCUUAGGAAUAUUCUGAAAAGUAAAUGAAACAGUGUUUGAAAGUGACUAGCAUACUGGACAUAAUAAAUAAUUAAUCAACAUUUGUUUAUUUUCUUUCCUCCCACAUAUUUUCUUCUGUAUAUCUUUCUUGGGCUGAAAUCAAUAGACCUACUCCCCCUUUUGGUAAUUCUUAGAAAUCUUGGAUUUCCUCCUUAUGAAGUAGGAUUUUAAUUAGACCUCUAAAUCUUGCACUCAAUGCACUAGCGGUUUAGCUGAGUGAAGAAUUUUCUAUGACAAUUGCUUAUAAGAAUAUCUUUAACAUUUUUGAGGUUUCUAGAGUGUUGAUGAGCUUUUUGGAGAGAGGGCUUAUUUUGUUGCUUUGUUGUUGUUUUUUUUUAAUACUAGUUAAUAAGAUUUGUAAAGACAGCUGGUCUAUCAUAGAGACAUCCCAAAAAUGGAAAAAAAGGCCCCCUGAAAAAAAGUCUGACCUGGAAUCCAAAUAGCUGAAUUGAAGAGCCCUUCUGGUAAGAAACCAAAUAUGUCAAAAGCUAGAAUGGUUGUUUCUUCAUGCUCUUAUGGGGAGAGGGGGCAUGGUGGGGAAUGGCCCUACCUCUGGAACAGCCAAUAAUUUAGUAGGAAGGGGCAACCAAAAAUCAAAAAUGUCCUUAUAGAAAACAUUUCAUGUCCUUAAAUAUUAUUCUUCAAAGUUUGUAAGAAACAUAUACAGUAGUACCCUCUUACCCACAGUUUUAGUUACUCAUGGUCAACCACAGUCCAGAAGUAGAUGACUUUCCUUGUGAUGUAUCAUCAGAAGGUCAGUAGUAGCUACAUCACAGUGCCUUCAUCAUCCACCUCACUUCAUCUCAUCGCCUAGCACUUUAUCACCGCACAUCAUCACAAGAAGGUCCUGUUAUUUCAUGACUCUGCUCAGAGCCCUCCAAGUCUUCUCUAGUACCAGUCUUAGAGCCAAAAACAGGUGACCAUGCAGAGCCCCCGUCUUCCCUCCUCCAACAUCCAUUGCAAGAUGAGUACCCCGAAGAGGAAUUCUCUGACCAAAUGGUC
Leptonychotes weddellii (Weddell seal) is the source of this 1567-nucleotide non-coding RNA. NCBI's taxonomy places the organism in Eukaryota, Metazoa, Chordata, Mammalia, Carnivora, Phocidae. The record is from RefSeq and is a predicted model, not a curated record.